AUGCAUGGGGAAUGGUCGGGAUAGCUCAGCUGGUAGAGCAGAGGACU
This 47-nucleotide transfer RNA is filed under the name Hydrangea serrata. RNAcentral's name for it is "partial tRNA-Phe". The record is from RNAcentral. Lineage: Eukaryota; Viridiplantae; Streptophyta; Magnoliopsida; Cornales; Hydrangeaceae.